UAGGGAAUCUUCGGCAAUGGACGAAAGUCUGACCGAGCAACGCCGCGUGAGUGAAGAAGGUUUUCGGAUCGUAAAACUCUGUUGUUAGAGAAGAACAAGGACGUUAGUAACUGAACGUCCCCUGACGGUAUCUAACCAGAAAGCCACGGCUAACUACGUGCCAGCAGCCGCGGUAAUACGUAGGUGGCAAGCGUUGUCCGGAUUUAUUGGGCGUAAAGCGAGCGCAGGCGGUUUCUUAAGUCUGAUGUGAAAGCCCCCGGCUCAACCGGGGAGGGUCAUUGGAAACUGGAAGACUUGAGUGCAGAAGAGGAGAGUGGAAUUCCAUGUGUAGCGGUGAAAUGCGUAGAUAUAUGGAGGAACACCAGUGGCGAAGGCGGCUCUCUGGUCUGUAACUGACGCUGAGGCUCGAAAGCGUGGGGAGCAAACAGG
This 429-nucleotide ribosomal RNA is filed under the name Gemmatimonadota bacterium. RNAcentral describes it as "Gemmatimonadetes bacterium partial 16S ribosomal RNA". It matches the Rfam family "Bacterial small subunit ribosomal RNA", at positions 355 to 776 of the family's 1533-position model. The record is from RNAcentral. Lineage: Bacteria; Pseudomonadati; Gemmatimonadota.